Molecule: ribosomal RNA, 467 nt
Filed under: uncultured bacterium
Lineage: Bacteria
Description: partial 16S ribosomal RNA
Rfam family: Bacterial small subunit ribosomal RNA
Source: RNAcentral
GACGAACGCUGGCGGCGUGCUUAACACAUGCAAGUCGAACGGAAAGGCCUCUUUCGGGGGGUACUCGAGUGGCGAACGGGUGAGUAACACGUGAGUAACCUGCCCUUGACUUUGGGUUAACUUCAGGAAACUGGGGCUAAUACCGGAUAGGAGCUCCUGCUGCAUGGUGGGGGUUGGAAAGUUUCGGCGGUUGGGGAUGGACUCGCGGCCUAUCAGCUUGUUGGUGGGGUAGUGGCUUACCAAGGCUUUGACGGGUAGCCGGCCUGAGAGGGUGACCGGCCACAUUGGGACUGAGAUACGGCCCAGACUCCUACGGGAGGCAGCAGUGGGGAAUAUUGCACAAUGGGUGGAAGCCUGAUGCAGCAACGCCGUGUGCGGGAUGACGGCCUUCGGGUUGUAAACCGCUUUCGCUCAUGACGAAGCUUUGUGUGACGGUAGUGGGUAAAGAAGCACCGGCUAACUACGUG